Molecule: ribosomal RNA, 1173 nt
Filed under: uncultured bacterium
Lineage: Bacteria
Description: bacterial SSU rRNA
Rfam family: Bacterial small subunit ribosomal RNA
Source: RNAcentral
GGCGACGUGCGUAUACAUGACAUGUCGAACGGAGAUUAGAAGGAAGCUUGCGAAUUCUAAACUUAGUGGCGCACGGGUGAGUAACGCGUGGAUAACCUGCCUGGUAGACCGGGAUAACAGCUGGAAACGGCUGCUAAUACCGGAUACGCUUAAGGGAACGCAUGUUCUUUUAAGGAAAGCAAUCGUGCUAUCAGAUGGAUCCGCGUCCCAUUAGCUAGUUGGUGGUGUAAGGGACCACCAAGGCGACGAUGGGUAGCCGGCCUGAGAGGGCGACCGGCCACACUGGGACUGAGACACGGCCCAGACUCCUACGGGAGGCAGCAGUGGGGAAUCUUCCGCAAUGGGCGAAAGCCUGACGGAGCAACGCCGCGUGAGGGAAGAAGGCCUUCGGGUUGUAAACCUCUGUCAUCAAGGAAGAACAGAUGACGGUACUUGGAGAGGAAGCCCCGGCUAACUACGUGCCAGCAGCCGCGGUAAAACGUAAGGGGCGAGCGUUGUCCGGAAUUACUGGGCGUAAAGGGCGCGUAGGUGGUCCAUUAGGUUAGAGGUGGAAGAUCGGGGCUCAACCCCGAGAUUGCCUCUGAUACUGGUGGACUUGAGUGCAUGAGAGGGGAGCGGAAUUCCCAGUGUAGCGGUGAAAUGCGUAGAUAUUGGGAGGAACACCAGUGGCGAAUGCGGCUCUCUGGACUGUAACUGACACUGAGGCGCGAAAGCGUGGGGAGCGAACAGGAUUAGAUACCCUGGUAGUCCACGCCGUAGACGAUGAGUGCUAGGUGUUGCAGGUAUCUACCCCCGCAGUGCCGUAUUUAACACAAUAAGCACUCCGACUGGGGAGUACGGUCGCAAUACUGAAACUCAUAUGAAUUGACUGGGGCCCGCACAAGCGAUGUACUAUGUGGUUUAAUUCAACGCAGCGCGCAGAUACUUACCGCGGCUUGACGUCUUAUGAAAGCUUUACAGAUAUGGACCUUACGGAUCGCGGUAACAGACAUACUGCUCGUGCAUGCUUGACAUCAGCUCCCGUCUAGAUAUGUCGGGUCAGUCCGCAACAAUUGCACCCGUAUCCUAGUUGCUACGACUAGGUCCGGACUCUAAAUGACGUCACUAACAAAAGGAUUAUGUCGCGAUGACGUUAAUCUUCUUGCUUUAUGUCUUGGGUACAUCUACAAGAUG